Molecule: long non-coding RNA, 323 nt
Organism: Gekko japonicus
Lineage: Eukaryota; Metazoa; Chordata; Lepidosauria; Squamata; Gekkonidae
Exons: 3
Source: RefSeq, a predicted model, not a curated record
AUAUCGGUUUAUUCCUGAAACCAGAAGCCCUAAACAUAUCUUUGUUUAUAAGAGCUUCUAAUGCCAUCUACUAAUACCAUUCUAAGACCUCUUCACAUAUUUGCAAAUUCAGCUUCCCUUUUGUGGUUCUGAUUGUUGCGCAGUAUAGCUGUCAACCACUUUAAUCUGAGCAGUUGACAUUGGUGCUUCUUCGAAAUCUUCAGAAACCUUGAAGAGAGCUCCUGUUGCCACCUGGAACACAAAUGUGCCCACACCAUGAGAAGUCCACUUAUUUUAAACGUCAAAGAUGUAAAUUAUCUUCAGCAUUGAUCAAUUACAAUGCA